AUUGAACGCUGGCGGCAUGCUUUACACAUGCAAGUCGAACGGUAACAGGCCGCCAGGUGCUGACGAGUGGCGAACGGGUGAGUAAUGCAUCGGAACGUGCCCAGUCGUUGGGGAUAACUCCUCGAAAGAGUAGCUAAUACCGCAUACGAUCUAUGGAUGAAAGCGGGGGACCGUAAGGCCUCGCGCGAUUGGAUCGGCCGAUGUCAGAUUAGGUAGUUGGUGGGGUAAAGGCUCACCAAGCCAACGAUCUGUAGCUGGUCUGAGAGGACGACCAGCCACACUGGGACUGAGACACGGCCCAGACUCCUACGGGAGGCAGCAGUGGGGAAUUUUGGACAAUGGGCGCAAGCCUGAUCCAGCAAUGCCGCGUGCAGGAAGAAGGCCUUCGGGUUGUAAACUGCUUUUGUACGGAACGAAACGGCUCUGGUUAAUACCCGGGGCUAAUGACGGUACCGUAAGAAUAAGCACCGGCUAACUACGUG
RNAcentral lists this ribosomal RNA (482 nucleotides) under uncultured bacterium. RNAcentral's name for it is "partial 16S ribosomal RNA". It matches the Rfam family "Bacterial small subunit ribosomal RNA", at positions 30 to 507 of the family's 1533-position model. The record is from RNAcentral.